GAUGAAGAACGUAGCGAAAUGCGAUACUUGGUGUGAAUUGCAGAAUCCCGUGAACCAUCGAGUCUUUGAACGCAAGUUGCGCCCGAAGCCAUUAGGCCGAGGGCACGCCUGCCUGGGCGUCACACGUCGUUGCCCCCCCAUCUACUCCUUCGGGAUUGCGGGGGGCGGAUGAUGGCCUCCCGUGCGCCUCGUCGCGCGGUUGGCAUAAAUGCCAAGUCCUCGGCGACGCACGCCACGACAAUCGGUGGUUGCGAAACCUCGGUUGCCCGUCGUGUGCGGUCGUCGCGCAUCGAGGGCUCGAAAAAAUUGCCGGGCUCCGGCUCGGCUUUCAACGCGACCCCAGGUCAGGCGGGGUUACCCGCUGAAUUUAAGCAUAUCAUAAGCGGAGGA
RNAcentral lists this unclassified non-coding RNA (390 nucleotides) under soil metagenome. RNAcentral describes it as "partial contains 5.8S ribosomal RNA, internal transcribed spacer 2, and large subunit ribosomal RNA". The stretch from base 1 to 122 matches the Rfam family "5.8S ribosomal RNA", at positions 35 to 154 of the family's 154-position model. The record is from RNAcentral.